RNAcentral lists this long non-coding RNA (10705 nucleotides) under Capsicum annuum. RNAcentral's name for it is "long non-coding RNA (CANN_LNC009973)". The record is from RNAcentral. Lineage: Eukaryota; Viridiplantae; Streptophyta; Magnoliopsida; Solanales; Solanaceae.
UGAACUUGUAAAAGAAUGAGUUAGGUUCUUAAUCUCAAGAAAAUUAAAGAUUAACAUACAAAAGAAAGCUAACGAUGAAGUUGGAAAGCCCUGCUACCGACCAUUCGUUAUAAUAAAAUUUAUCAUACCAUUUGAAGUCGAUCUAAUUGGGUUGGAUAUAUUCUAAACAUAUUAGAUGUUUAUUUAGACUUGAAAACAAUAGAGACGCUCCAUAAAUGCCUCAAAGGCAUGAGAAAUACAUCAAAACUUGUGGUAUAACCGGAAAGUACUGCUACCGGCAAACCACACAUUAAUAUAAUUAAAUAAUUUAAAAUAAAUUGAAAGCGAGAUAGAAGUUACUUUUAGGCUAACAAAUACCAUAUAUUCAAGAGAUUAAUUUAAGCCAAACUUAACAAACGUAAGUCAUUAAAGAAACCAUGCUAUAACCACAGGAUUCGAGGGGUGCCUCACACCUUCCUCUCGGUUAACAGAAUUUCUUAUCCAAAUUUCUAAUUCACAGACCAAAAACAAAGAGUCAUUUUUUUUUAAUUGGGGAUUCAAUAAGAUGACUUGAAACACCCAAACUCAAUUCCAAGUGGCGAUUCUGUAAAAUAAAUAAUCUUUUUUCAAAACGUCACUUUAAUUGAAAAAAUCCAUUUUCUCUAAAACCAACUCCCAAGCAGGGUUGGGCGGUAAAAAUAGGGGUGUGACCGAUGACGACUCUGCUAAGGAUAACCAGAAUUUGAGCUUUUAUAUUGACUUGUUUGGCUUUACUUAAUAUUUGAUAUUACAUUUGUUGGCCUAAGUAUGUUAUUUGCCUACUUGUUUAUUGCUUUGAUAUUAUUUGAAUUGCAAUAUAAAUUGUCUUCUCUCGCGCAUCCAUCUGAUAUACUUUAUAUUCGGAGAUGUGGCAUAUGCUCCCAAGCCUUGAGAUAUCAGAGAUGUGGCAUAUGCUCCCGAGCCUUGAGAUAUCAUAGAUGUGGCAACGCUCCUGGGAAGGAUUUUAUAGUCACACGUGAUUUAGGAUGGGAAGGACCAAUAGUGAGGCCGAAAAGCACUGCUACCGGUAAGUUGUCCCUACCCGACUAGAGUUGUCCGCUCGUUUUACAGCCAGUCUAAACACCUAUUCCAUCAAAAAGUUAUACCUAGCAGAACAAGCCUUGGACAAUGAUUAUCCUUAACAGGAUUCGCUUUUUUACAUCACAUGCAUUUUGAUUUAGUGGAGGCUCGAUAGAGAUUUGAAUGUAUAAAAGUACCCUAUUUUAAGACUAUUCAUUUUCUAUGCAACUAGUUGCAUUAACUGUCAAGUUGUUUUGAAUGUUGGUCUGAUUUAGAAUGCAUUAACGUAAGAGAGGGUGAAAAUAACUCUCUAAAACCUAUUCUUUUUCGAAAUCCAAAUGAGGUGCGAGGUUUGCUUUCACAAAUAAAAGAAAAAAAAUAGUUUUUAAAUUAUCGAGUUUGCCCCGUCAGCACGAACUACGCAUACCUGAUUUUCAUCUCAGUGAGAUACGUAGGCAGCCUUCCACGAGUUCGGUGAUCCUUAAAAACGAAUGUUGUUUUUUUUUCUUAAAGAAAAAAAAAGGAAAAGUUUUAAUCCUUAUAAAAAAUCAAUCAAUUCGUUUUCAAAAAUUUAAAAAAAAAUCAUUAUUAAUAAAUUCAGAAAAAAAUUAUCUUCUUUUCAUUAGUCAAAUAAAAAGUGGGUUUCUUCAUGUCUCUAAUUGGAUGAACUACGCACACCUGUUUCUCAUCUUAAUGAGAUAUGUAGGCAACCCUUCUUGGGUUCGGUGAUCCUUAUUAAAUUUGAAAAAAAAAUAUCUUAUUAUUUUUUUUUAUAUAAAAAAGGACGUUAGUCUUCUUCAAAAAGGAAUCCUUAUACAAAAUUACAAAAAAUGUCCUUAUUAAAUUUUAAAAAAAAAUAAUAAAAGAGAAAGAAAAGUUUUUCCUGCCUAUUCAAAAUUAAAAAAAGAAAAAAAAAGUUCUUGCUUCAUAUUUUAAGCUUUCUGGACUAUGUUUGACUUGAUUCUUGUUUCAAAAAGAUACGUAGGCAACUCUUCUUUUGGGUUCGGUCUCAUUUAAAAACUAUAUAUAUUCUUGACUUAAUAAUUGGUACCAACAUACUUAAAAAUAUGAAUUAAAAAAAAUGUUAAAUUAUAAGACAUGAUAGAGUGGACCAACUUAGUUGUGAACUAUAGAUUCUUUUGGUACCUUUAAUUAUACUAAAGUUGCACUUGUAAAUUUUUCUUGCUCUAAGUCAAGUUUAAAAUAAAUCUUACCUCACUGUUUUAUGUGUAUUGUGUGGUGAGCUUUAGAUUGACAAUUCAAUGAAAUCGCUCUGUUGAUCUAGAACUUGGCUUGAAUGUCUGUUGAGGCGAAAUUUUGAGCAACACUUCACUUGGGAGAGGAUUAAGGCUUUCUUUGACUCUAUUGUGCCUUUAAAGCCUACCAAAUAAAAUGUAAUCCCUAGACUUCCCCCUUUGAGCCUGAAUUUUUUUCCUUGGAUAACCACUUCUGAGUUUAUACCUUUCGAGUGCUUAUAUGCACUAUUCCUCUUUUGGCCCACCUUCUUGAGCGCACUAAAUACGUACAUGUUACAAAUGAAGAUUCAAGAUCAAAAGCGCCAAAGGCAAAGAACGUAUAGCCCCAGGAGAACAAAAACAAAAGGCAACUUCAGAGAAGAAGGAGCAAAAACCCUAUUAAAAAAAAAAACUCCAACAAAGAUAGAGAAUCUUCAUUAAAAAAAAUACAUUUAUCGAAAAGAAAAGGGAAAAAGCUCCAACACAAGAUUCAAAUAAAGUCGAAGCAAAUACAAAACAAGGGGCAAAGAAGCACAACAAAGAAGAUCGAGCGUCAAACCGCAAUAAAUGUCAAAAGCACGGAAACAGUGUAGUGCUCAUUGAGGAAUUAGUCACUUACAUCCCAAAUAUCAUCCUACCUGUCCCUAAGCCUACAUUACAGGCCGAUAACAAGUCCUACUUGAUUUCAUUUUGAGUGUUCUCGCAUUAGUGGAUACUUACAUAAUGGUCAAGCUUAUGCUAUCUCAUAGCAUGCAUUGAAUAUCUUUUUGAGUGUGAGUGCUUCUUGGACAUCCUAAAAGUUAAACUCUGUUAUGGAGAGUGAAUUAGGAUUUUAUUUGUGGUGAGGACACUAGAAACAUAAGGAUAAGAAUAAUUUAAAUGCUUGAUUUAGAGCAAGACAUAUAUAUCUUGUAUAAAACUUAAGUAUAUUUGAGGUACCAUUUGAAACUAUAGUGAUUACUUUUGAGUUGACUUCGGUUCUUAUUUGAAAGUAAUUUGAAGUGACUCCUAUGCAUAAUACUAAUUAUUGGUAUCAAUUGAAGUCAAGAAAUGAGUUAUUUUCAUUCUUCUGAUCUUUACAAAGCACAUACUUUCAAAAAAAGAAUGAAAUAAAAAAAAUAUUAUGUUUUUAUGAACUACAUUAGACCUGAUUUUUGCUAUGCAAGAUACGUAAGCAAUCCUACAAUAGGAUUCGAUCCCGCUGAAUAAAAUUUUUUAUAUCUCUAAAUGGUAUAAUACUGGGGCAUUUCUUUUUCAAAAAUUAAAAAUGAGUCAAAAAAAAAAAUCAAAACCCCUCACAUUCAAAACUGGACAUAUAUUUUCCCUUUUCUAAAAAAAAAAUUAUAAUAAUAAUUAUAUAAGUCUUUAUAGGGUACGACAUUUCCUAGUUGACAUCUUAUGAAACAAUUUCCUAAUUUUCUUCUUCAUCUUCAUAGGGUACGACAUCCCCUAGUUGACAUCUUAGGAAACAUAAUUUCCUAAUUUUCUUCUUCGUCUUCAUAGGGUACGACAUCCCCUAGUUGACAUCUUAGGAAACACAAUUUCCUGAUUUUCUUUUUUCGUCUUCAUAGGGUACGACAUCCCCUAGUUGACAUCUUAGGAAACAAUUUCAUAUUUUUCUUCUUCGUCUUCAUUGGGUACAACAUUACCUAGUUGACAUCCUAGGAAAUAAAAUUUUCUAUUUUUGUCCUUUAUGUCUUUAUAGGGUACGACAUUCCCUAGUUGGCAUUUUAGGUACGACAUACCCUAGUUGACAUCUUAUGAAACAAAAUUUUCUAUUUUCUUCCUAUGUCUUCAUAGGGUACGAAAUUCCCUAGUUGACAUCUUAGGAAAUAAAAUUUUCUAUUUUUCUACUUUAAAUUUUCAUAAGGUACGACAUUCCCUAGUUGACAUCUUAGGAAACAAAAUUUCCUAUUUUUUUCUUUAUGUCUUCAUAGGGUAUGACAUUCCGUAGUUGUUAUUGUGGAAAACAAACUUUUCUAUUUUUCUCUAUUAAGUAUUCAUAGGGUACGACAUCCCCUAGUAGACAUUUUAGAAAUUAAAACCUCUCAUUUUUCUUCAUUAAAUCUUCAUAGGAUACGACAUUCCCUAGUCGCAUUUAAGAAGUAAAUAUCCCAAUUCUUUUUCAUGCAUUCAUAGGUAUAACAUCCCUUGGUUGCAUCAUUAUGAACAAGAAUCUUAUUUUAUUGCGUACCUACCUUAGAUUUCUAUCAUUUUCAUUUAUAUAUUUAUUUUUAAAUUAUUGUAUAGUUUUUAUAAUAACUCACAAAAUUUUCCUAGUGCAAACUGGGGAAGAAAAAUUUUGUUCAUCUUUGUUUGUUUUCUAUGAUGGCUUGUAGGUUUUUCUGCAAAGAACAGAUUUGAUGUCCAAGAAUGGAAUCAUAUCUCUGAUUAGAGUAGAGAAGAAUGUUCAAUCUCGAAGAUAGUUAGAGCCAACUAAGCAUAUGUAGCGGCCCACCUUCUCAAGAGUCGUCUUCUUAGCUUCUGGUCAAGAGAACAAACAUCCAAUAAGAUUCUAUGAACUGUCUUUUGGAGGAGCGUCAACGACUCAAUCCAAAUUUCAAGUUCAAGUCUCAAAUCCUAACUUCAAGAUCAAAUUUUAAGGUUAAGGUACCCACCAAAAGAAGGUGAAACUAUAACCGAAGAUCUAAAAAGAAGAUCUGAAACAAGAGAAUCAAGACAAGUAGAAUACAUAAAAAUUUGUAUUUUUCAUUUCUAGCUUCAUUUUUCUUUUCUGAUGUAAUAAAAGAAAUUGCAAAUCGAAAUCUCGAUGGGGCCUCGCUCGAUUCUUUAACUCAUCCCUUCAUUCCUACACCCAUUUGAACUACACGUGACCUGGUUCUCCUAAACCUCGAGAUAUGUAGGCUGUCGAAAGCCAGGGCUCGGUCAUACCUCUUUUCUACUUAUUUACAUAUUACUUUGAAAUACAUGGUUGGACCAAAAAUUAGUCAUAUUUACUUCUUUGCUUGAAAACUCUCCAUGUUUCCAAGCAAAGAGGGAUAUUCUGUAAACACCUAAUUUUUUUAUCAAACAUAAGGUUUUAUGCCAUUUUAGCAUUUAAAUAUUUUAUUUUAGGUCUAAAUUAAAUAUUUUAAUUUUUAUCUUAUUUACAAGUUUGCUUUAAAAGUUUUGAAAACUACCAAAAAGUAGUCAGAUUUUAAAUAAUUUUUUUUUAUUUUUAUUACUUAUUUAUUUAUUUAUUUUUAAAAAAGAGAAUUUUCAAAACUAUAUUUGUUUUCUUCUUUUAAAUUUUGAAUAAACAAUCUAGUGAUAUUAAUAUUUUCGUAAUCAUAUUUCUAAGACUAGCUAUUUAACUUAUUUGUAUUUUGUUAGUUUUAAAUAGAUUUAUUAUUUUUAUUUUAUUUAAAAUAUUGAUUAAAAAAAAAAAAGAAAAACCUAAAACUACCCAAUAUCCCCAUUCCCCUUAACCUAAACUACCCAUUCCCACACCCUAAAACCACCCCCACUUUUCCCUCACAAACUCCCUCAACUGCACACACAACACUCUCCUAUACAUGGACAUACAUCACACAUGGACAAAGACCGAAAACACAGAAAGAGAGAGGGAGGAAAAGUAAGAAAAGAGAGAAAACAAAGAAGAAUAAGCAGUAACGAAGAAAGGGACGAACAUUUGAUGAAGAAUAUAAAAAAUCAUAGCAGAAGAGGAAAAGAAAGGAAGAGAGUUCGGGUUUGAGUUUGGGGUCUCCGUUUGAGUUUUCGAUAACGGCAUUCUUGCUUUUAUACUGGAUUUAUUUCAUCACAUGGGUUUUUAUCCAACCCAUUAUCAUUAUUUUUUGUAAGUAUUAUUGAGGAUCAAAGCAUAAAUAACGUUAUUUAUAUGAUUUAUGUGUUAUUUAUGUUUAAAGCUCGAUUACGUUAAAUAAUUUAUCUUUUAUUAUCUUUACUUAGAUACCAUUUAUCUCUAUAUUUUUAAAUUGUAAAUAUGUUAAGAAGUUAAUGAGUUGAUAAAGAAAAACUAAACAUGAUGCAUUGACUAAUCGUGGGUUUUGAUUGUUAGACUAAAAUUAAAAGAAGUCAUGUUAAUCAAUAAAAGGUGGCUUUAAUUUGUUGUUUCUUUUAUCUUUUUGUGAACAAAAUGUGGUAUUCAAAUUUAUUUAGAAUUUUACUAUAGGUUAAGAACUUAAUUUGAUUCAAAGUCUUAAAUUUUCAAAAGUUAACGUGAAGGUCUUAAUUCUAUUUUAGUGAUCAAUAUACAUCACUGUCACUUUGUGAAAAAUAUUGUUAGUGUUUGCAUGCUAUGGUAUAUUUUGGUGCAGAGGCUAUUAUUUCUUUUGUAUUCAUAUGUCCAUUUUCAUGCAUGUCUACCCAUUAUUAUAAAUUGAUGAUUUGAAACAUAUAGGAUUUUUUUUAUUUCUUAAAUUAUAUGAUAUCCAACUAAAUAGGUUUAUAAUUGUGUUCUUAUAAAAAAAAUAUUAAUGUUUUACUUCGUUAUAGUUGAAAUGUCAAAUUUAUCUAUUUUAUUUUAUUAAUUUUUUAUGUUCCAAUAUUAGAAUACUAUUAAGAGAUGAAGAUAUCACGUGGAUCCUUUGAAAAAUAAAUUUGCUACUCACAUAAUGGAUAUGGUCAAAAUGCUUGACAUGGACUUAAAUUUAUUUUCAUUCUCUUAAGGGAAAAAGAUUAGUAAAAGAACAAAGUUUCUCCAAUAACCAUUGACAGUAGUUUGGCUAUUCUUUAUGUUUAUACUUAGAACUCAGGAUUUUGGUUAGUUUUCCUAUGUGGUGACUUUAUUUCAGUAUCAAAUAUUUUGUAAAAUAUUCAGUUUAAAGUUCUGGGUGAAUAUCAAAAUUAUAACAGGUGUUUAUCUUAGUAUGUUCUAUUAAUAAUUUAGACUAAAACCAAUCCUAUGAUCUAAUUACCAAUCAAUCGUAGAAAAUAAGUGAAAUGGAUUGCGGAUUUAUCUAAGAUCCGCCAUAAAUAAUAAAAAGAAAAAAGGAGGAAAAACCGAUUUGUGUAAAGGGGUGAACUUGUAAAAGAAUGAGUUAGGUUCUUAAUCUCAAGAAAAUUAAAGUUUAACAUACAAAAGAAAGCUAACGAUGAAGUUGGAAAGCCCUACUACCGACCAUUCUUUAUAAUAAAAUUUAUCAUACCAUUUGAAGCCGAUCUAAUUGGGUUGGAUAGAUUCUAAACAUAUUAGAUGCAUUUUAGACUUUAAAAAAAUAGAAACGCUUCAUAAAUGCCUCAAAGGCAUGAGAAAUACAUCAAAACUUAUGGUAUAACUGGAAAGUAUUACUACCGGCAAACCAUACAUUAAUAUAAUUAAAUAAUUUAAAAUAAAUUGAAAGCAAGAUAGAAAUUACUUUUAGGCUAACAAAUACCAUAUAUUCAAGAGAUUAACUUAAGCCAAACGUAAGUCAUUAAAGCGACCGUACUAGAACCAUGGGACUCGAGGGGUGCCUCACACCUUCCUCUUAGUCAACAAAAUUCCUUAUCCGGUUUUCUAAUUCACAGAUCAAUAAAAAAGAGUCAUUUCCUUUUGAUUGGGGAUUCAAUAAGAUGACUUGAAAUACCCAAACUCAAUUCCAAGUGGCGACUCUGUAAAAUAAAUAAUUUCUUUUCAAAACGUCAUUUUAAUUGGAAAAACUCAUUUUCUCUAAAACCAACUCUCUGGGGGGUUGGGGCGGUAAAAAUAAGGGUGUGACAACAACCACCAAAUUUGAGGUCAAAUUCCCUUCAAGUUGGAGAGGAUGAUAAGGGUACACCAAGUUCAAGACCAUUCACAAGCUAAGUAGUCAAGUUCGGGAGUUAUAAAAACUCCAAGACAUGUUCAUGAAUAUGGCCGUGUGUGAGUGUGUUAUAAAUCCAUCUAAGGGAUUACAUAUUUGAAGUGUGAAGAGGGACUUCGAAGUACAAUAAACUUACACUCCAAAGUCACCCCUUGGACAGGGACAAAAUGGUCAUUUGCCACUUAUUUUGUGAUGAACUAUAAAUAAAAUACAUUAGGGUUAUUUUGGAGUUUAGUUCAUUAUUAUCAUUCACAUAAGACUUGUAAUAUUUUGAGACCUCUCUCUCGCCUUUCUUGAACACCCGAAACUACAAUUAGUGUAGUUCACUUGUGUUGUUGUUAGCUAGAAACUUGGUAUUGAUAUCUUCUAGUCUUAGGGUCCUUUCAUUUGAUACAUGUUAAGGUUCUUAUAUUCUAGGAUAUUGUAUGUCAAGUUAUCCAUCUACUUUAUCUUUGUAAUCUUGUUGAUGUUGAUCUUGUUCUAGUGAAGCCGUGUGGGGCAUUGUUGUUUCUAUAUUGUGUUGAAUUUUAUUUCCUUGUGUUGUUGGCUGAUUUUUGUAUUAUGUCUGCUUUCAGCUAUCUACUACUCACGCUUAUAUAUAUUAAUAAGGAUUCAUAUAUUUCAUAUAUUUUAAGUCUAUUAAUUUUUUCAUGUAUUUAUUUAUCAUAAUUUUUUCAUAUAUUUUAGGAGUAUUUAAUUUAAUAAAAUAAUAAUUAAAAGUAAAUUUUAAUUUAUUUAUUUUUUGAUGUUUUUCAUGGUUUUUUUUCCUAUUUUUUGUCAAGCUUUUAUUCCGUGACGUUUGCCAUGGACAUUUUCUAUUUGUUUGGCAAAUGUUUUUUUGAUUUUAUUUUGGACGUGUGUUAUGGGGUUUUGUCUUUUUUUAUUUAGGUCAAGGUUGUUUUUUUUUAAUGUGUUUGCUGUCCUAUUUUUUCGAAUCAAGACUAUUGUAAUUGGAAAAGGUUUUUUUUGCCUACUUAAAAAUUUAAUCAUGAUAAGAAUUUUUUUUUAUUUUAAUAAAUUUAUUAUAAUCACUAUUUAAUAUCAUAAAUAAUAAUUAAAAAAAAUAAAAAAUGAAUUUGUCUAUCAUAGAGACUUUAAUGAAGAAUAAAAAGUUUAAAUAAUAUAUUCAGAGUUAAAGAUGGUCAAUCUAAAGGGAUUGAACAAGGAUAUAGUAUGUGAGGCACUCCUUUUAAGUCUCUUUUGAACCAUUGAGUCAACUAACCACUUUGUUAAUGGGUUUUUCACUUAUUAUUCUUAUGUAUUUAAUAGAUAUUUAAUAUAAUUAUAAGGUAUACGAAAAUAUUUGAGGACUCCCAAAAAUCUCCAUUCCCAAUGCUAGAUUCGCCUCUGAUAAAUAUAGAUAUAAAUAGAGAUAGAUAAACUCUUUUAUUAUUAUAACAUACAUACUUGUUUAAAAACAAAAUGAUAAAUUAAAUUGAUCCGCAUAUUUUUUACCUCGUGAUAGAUUCAAUUGUAUCAAUUUUUGAAUAAAUAAUUUUAAUCUCACGCAAUUAGCUGAAUAUACGCAAAAUUAUAUAAAUAGCUAUGACAACGAACCAACUUAAUAAGCAACCACUAAACGAGGGAAAUGUUUUAAUAUUCAGGAGAGAUGGACUCGUAGAAAUUUGUGUUGGCAAAAAAUUAUGAACUCACAGCUGAGCUUCUUAUGCUUAUGGAUGAAGAAAGUGUGGUCAUCAAUAAGCAAGAACUAGGGUCAUUUUCGCUUUUUCCAUGUUUUUACGGGAUUUGGCUCCUCUCCAUUAUAUUUUCUCUCCAUUUUCUUAAGUACAUAUUUAGAUGAAUGACACUUGUCUAAUUUAUUUUUUAAAAAUUAAAAUUAAAUCAAUUUAACUAACAUCUUAACUAUGAUUAAAAUAUUAAAUUUGGAACGCAUUUUCUUAUUUUUGACAUCCAAUAUUAAUCUCCCCACAUAUUUUAGUAAUCAUUAACUUCAAAUGUGCGUCAAACUUCCCUGCCCCUCCCAUUCACGAAUCCAUCUAAAUUAGGAAAGUACUAUAUGUGAUCAUAAAUUUUAGAAAAUUGAUUUUAAAAUAUUUGAAAAAUUAAAUUAAAGAGCAUAUGAGGAGAGUGAAAUCAUAGUUUUAAUUUUCAGUUUUUUUUUUUUUUUAAGAAAUAAGAAUUUUAUUGAUCAAGAAUAUGAGUGCAAUUCUAUUCCUCACUUGAUUCUUUUUUUUUUUUUCAUAAUUCGAGGGUUGCUAAUAGCGUAUUUUUUUAACAUAAGAAGAUUUGAAUUUGACCUCCAUAAAGAAAGUUUUUGCAGAUCUUUUUAAAGUAUAUGAUUAUCAAGAAGUGAGGGUUUUAGUUUCUUUUUUAUUAAUAUUCCAUGAGUUUAUGGAAUUUUUGAGAUAUUAUUCGAGAUCUAUUUUCAAGUGACAAUUGGGAAGCAAAUUAGAGUGUUGAAAUUAUUAUGAUAGUAUUUGGAUUAGUUCUCUUUCAAUUUAAUUUAAUCGAGAUGAUGAAUAUAUAAAAAAAUAUCAGGAAGGAUACUGUAACAAUAAUGAUUAUUUUGAUGCUAUUAAAUUUUAUUAAGAUUUUGAAAUAUAUGAACAAGCUUUGGAUUAUCCAUAUUUUCAGUUUAAAAUUACAAAUGAAAUUAAUGAGUAUCAAAAUAUUAAUUAUAUGCAUACCAAAUUAGAGUAUGUUUUCCAAAUUUAAUAUUUUAAUCAU